GUUGAGCAAGAUAAAGAUUCUGUGGCUUAACUUUUUCUUCUAUUUCAUAGGAAUAACAAUAGGUCUGAGUAUUAAAUGUAACAAUGCCUUCAAAGAUUGCAGCAUGAUUAUAGGCAUUGUAGUAAACACGAAACAGAUGCUAGUCAGUACUAUCUCCUUUAUUAAUAUAGUGAUUCUCUUCAUGACCAGAAGAAAAGAAUCAUUAAAAACUGAGUAAUAACUGCUUUUACAUUUUAAUUUCUUGUGAUUUUCUUCCCUAACUUAAAAGAAUGUCACUGGCAACUAAGUCAUUGUUUCUGUCCCCCAACUUGGAGAUUUUUCACUUCUAUAGGAUCCCCUUUACAUAUACAAAGCAGGAUUCAAUGGAGAAAAGGCUUGGUUUUAGAGUGAAAGUCCUGGUUUCCAUUCUGGGCAAUACCCUACCCAAGUCUUGUUUACUGAGCAAAUGCACCCGUCCCUCAACUGUUGGCUGCUAAUUGCUCACAGCUGCCCCCUUCUCCAGGAAUUACCUUUGGCUGGGAGCUGCCUGGCCAGAGAAGUUAUGUCCCCUGCCAACCCCUGGAGAAGCACAUAGCCAUUGAUGGAUUGACAUGGAGUUUCAAAAGGCCAGACCCCUUCCUUUAGUGUAAGAAAAGCUGCAUGGUGUAAUCCAUGUUCUGUAGUUCCUUGUGGGAUUCAGCUAGACCUAGGCUCUGAGACCGCCUCCUCCCAUAUCUCCUUCCCCUGUCCUGUCCUGGUUCUUUCACUCCCUUGAAGAGACAUUCACAAUACAUUACCUGUGUCUGAAUCCUUGUCUUAGGCUUUGUUUCUGGAAAACAGAUCUAACCAAAUAUAUGUGAAAUACUUUGCUAUAAUGCCAUGGUAAACAGUUUUUUUGUAAGAUAACACAAUAAACAAACUCCAUCAUAAAAGAUAACCUCCAUUAGAAGGUUUUUAAGAAUAUCUUCAAUACUGAGAUUCCUUUUUUUUUUUUUCCUUUUUCCUUAGGUGGAUUAGCCCUGAGCUAACAUCUGUUGCCCAGCUUCCUCUUUUUUUGCUUAAGGAAGAUUAGCCCUGAGCUAACAUUUGUGCCAGUCUUCCUCCACUUUAUAUAUGGGUUGCCAUCCCAGCGUGGCUGAGGAGUGGUGUAGGUCCAUGCCCAGGAUCUGAAACCGUGGACCCAGGCCACCAAGUUGGAGCGUGCUGAGCUCAGCCGCUAUGCCAUAAGCCAGCCCCUAAGAUUUCUUUAAUAGGCAAAACAUUUAAGUUUCUUCAUUAAAAAAAUUAAAACUCCAAUAGAAUUAAAAACUGUAUUUAAACAAACUGAAUGGUGGAUUUCUUAACCAGAUUUAUUAAAGAACUUGGUAUUGCGAGAUCUGUGCUAGUUACUAAGAACAAAACGAUAAAUAAGACAGACACAGUCCCUACCCUCAAGGACCACGGAGGAGUUACACACACACACACACACACACACACACACACACUCCUACUUGAAAACCACAGUAACACUUGAAAAUUUCCAUGAAGUACAAAAACAUGAAAUAGAGAAGAACUAGAAGUGUAAAGUUAGUCAGAGAAGAUGUCUUUGAGCAGAUGGUAGUUUUUCUGAAACCUGAAGAAUAUGAGGAGCUUCUAACAGAGUAUGUUUGCAGAGAGAACAUCAUCAGGUGAAGAGGCCUCUAGGCAGGGUGGAUUUGACUUUUGCAAGAGGAUACCCAUGUGUCAGGAGUGUAGUGAGUGAUGGCGAGAGUGACGAGAUAAAGUUGAGCAGAUGGGAAAGACUGAGAUCACAUAGACUCUUCUGCCAUGCCAGGGAGUCUGGACUUCUGUCUGUACGUGGUGGGAAACCACUGAAGGACUGUAAAUGGUGGAAGGUGGGGAGUGACAUGAUUUGGUAAUGGGAUAGUGGAUUAUAAGAGGCAAGAAAGGAAGCAGGGAGACCAGUUAGAUGGAUGCGAGAUCACAUUGGAUAGGACAGGGUGGCUGCAGUAGAGAAGAGAGGAGGUAUUCUGAGAGCGUAUUUGCAGAUUGGUAAAUGUGGUAGUUCAGGGCCUGCAAAGGAGAGUUGGCAGGUGGAUUGAAUAUUAGGUAAGAAGACAAAAUGGGAGAAAUCAAGGAUAUGAUGCCAAAAGGUGGUGAAAAAACAUUUUAGGAGGAAAAAGAGCCCAAUUUUGGGCGUGUUAAAUGUGAAACUGAAAUGAGGCAUUAAAAGGGAGAUACUGAGUUGUAUGUAGCAGCCUAGAUGCACUGGAAAUAUUUAUCUAAUAGUCAAUGACAUAGCAACAUCUUUAAAGCUUUGAAAUGGAUGAGCCCAGUUAGGGAGAGAAUAUAAAGAUAAGGUGGCCUGAGACUCAGUACUUAAGUUGGCAAUUAGAAGGACUUGGGAAGAAGACUGGAAAGGAGGAGUUAGGAAAGAAGUAGAGAAAACCAUAGAGAUGGUACCACUGAAGUGUAAAGGGAGAAAAAUUCAAACAUGUUUAACUGUGUUGAAUGCUGCAAAAAGGUCAAUUAAAAUGAAAUUUGGGAAUGAAUGGUCCAUUGGAACUUGAAACUUACAGGAUUCAAUCAGAUGACCUUAAAAUUUGGGGAGUGGUAGAGACUCGGGCAGGUUGGAAUAGAUUAAAGAAUGAAUGGGGGUUGAGAGAGUAAAGUUACCAUCAGUAGAAAAAUCAGGGAGAAGAAGAGAAAUGAUUAGUUGAAAUGGAUUAUGAGAGUCGUGGAAACUUUUGUUUUUUAAACUGGGAGAUAGUAGAAUAUUGUGUGUGUGUAUAUUUUCAUUUGAUUUCAGAAACUUAUCAAAUUUGAGCGUUUUAUUUUUAGAUUUUAGUUUCAAAUAGCCUGUAGAAAUAGAAUGGUUUAAAAUGGACAUUUAAUGUAAAACUUACAUGCAGCAGUUAGUCAAGAGUUAAGAGAAAAAGUGGCAGCUGUUUGCUACAGUUUACAGCUUUUGAUCCUGGCUGUUUUGUUGCAGCCAGGGGACAUUUUGAAGUAAGCUGUUUGACAGUAAGUCCUUGUAGUAUAAUUGGAUAUUGAGCAAAUUACAGCCUCAGAGUGAGCCCUUGUAACCUUUACACUACAGAGUUCAAUAAAACUGCAGAAGACAAUGAAGAGGAAACAAGACUCAGAAAAGAGAAAGACAACAGAACAACCCAAAACUUGGUAUAUCAGCCUAUUGUUUGAGACAUACUGUAGAUUCCAGUGGGCCUUAGGACAGCGUUAAAAUGAGAGCCACAUUGAGUAAUUCUAAAAAUAUUAAUGAUACUAUUACUACGAAUAUAUACAUUUGUCAGAAUGAAAUUCUGAUGUCCAUUUGGAAAUAGUGGAUUUAGGCAUUCUCAACUCUUAGUGCCUUUAUUUUAGAUAAUUUUCAAAUAUUAAUUUGGGUCUCAAGGCUCAAAAUGUGUGAGGUGGUCCUAUUUAAGAUCACCUUGGAAUUAAGAUAUAUUCAUCAUAG
This 3433-nucleotide long non-coding RNA is filed under the name Equus caballus (horse). RNAcentral's name for it is "lncRNA (ENSECAG00000055793.1)". Lineage: Eukaryota; Metazoa; Chordata; Mammalia; Perissodactyla; Equidae. The record is from RNAcentral.